This 435-nucleotide long non-coding RNA is filed under the name Sus scrofa (pig). RNAcentral describes it as "lncRNA (ENSSSCG00030005319.1)". The record is from RNAcentral. Lineage: Eukaryota; Metazoa; Chordata; Mammalia; Artiodactyla; Suidae.
CUGACCCCAGGGAGAUUGAGUGGGGGGCCAGUCUGUGCUCAGUGACCUUCCUCCACCCCCCAGGAGCCAUGUCUAUGCCAUCCAGUGUCUCAGCCCCAACCCGGGGAAGCUUCCGGGCCUCUUUGAUGUGGGGCACGUGGCAGAGCAGCUGCGCCAGGCGGGCAUCCUGGAGGCUGUGUGUACCCGCAGCGCCAAUUUCCCCAUCCGUGUGCCCUUCCGGCUCUUCCUGGCCAGGUUCUGUUGCGAGAGCCAGGCUGGCAGCAGCUGGAGCAGCACCGGGCCGAGCAGCGCACCCAGGCCCUGCUCACCCUGCACCGAGGCCUCCGUGUCUGCAUCUCCUGCCAGCGCCUCCGUCUCUUGCCACGGAUGCAGGCUCGCAUGCGUGGGCUCCAAACCAGGUCUGCAGGGUGGGGUGAGGCUGUAAGCCUCCUCCAA